Molecule: long non-coding RNA, 1294 nt
Organism: Heterocephalus glaber (naked mole-rat)
Lineage: Eukaryota; Metazoa; Chordata; Mammalia; Rodentia; Bathyergidae
Source: Ensembl
GGCUUUUUAUGGGACAUGCUGAUUUUUUCCUCCAAAAUAUCAUCUUUAAUGUAUACUUUUAAUGUUUGAAGAUGACUCCCUGGGAGUUAGUGAAGUGCUAGGAGCCUUCUCUCACUAAAAUAAAUGUGAUUCCCCUCCCAAAAGAAAAGUGACAAAUCCUGUGCAGUUCUUCAUAGAAACAAUGAGGUGAAAACAUUCGUGAUUUUAAUAAGAUUUGGUGCAGGCCCGUGUGCAGAGAAAGACAGAUACAUGCUCCACGUCACCUUCUGCUUCUUUCCUUGUCUUUGUCUUCUCCCUUCCGGCCCAGAGAGGAGAAGGUUGAUGGUUACACGGAACUGGUGGUCCCAAGGCUCUUCCAGGCAGUGCGGUGUUCUUCUGGUGCUGUGAUCCGGGUAGUGCAACCUGAACUCAUCCACCUCCCCCAGGCAGAAGGGGGUGGCUGCGUUUUUGCAGGCUCUACCUUCCAGCUUGAGCUCGAGAAUCUAUUGCUUCAGAACUCUCAGUACCAUGAAGUCAGUGGAAUGAUCACUGUCAAGAAUGAGUGCGCAACAGGGGAGCAAAUGACAUCAUUCAUCUCUGGCACAGUGGGAAUGAGUGGAGAUGGACGUGGUCAAGGAACAUUUCUUCACUCCAUGCUCUUAAUAAUUGAGAAACACAUGGGGAUACUGUUUCUAACCCUAACUACUGAAACAACAGGUGGACCUGGAAGUCAUUCAAGAACUGAGAUAAGCACAGCUUCUUUCAUAAAUGACCGGGGAGGUGAAAGUCUAGAAAAUAAACAGUGAACUUCUCACUUUGAAAUAGCAAUAAUUAUAGAGUAAUAAAUAUCAAAUACAUAAGAGAAAAAAGACAAAAUUAAAGACAUUUGUUGCAUUACAUGAAAAAAGCCAUGAGACAAAAAAAUGUAGAGAUUUUGACUUCUUCUAAAUAAAAUUGAUAAGCAAGCAUUAAUGCUUUCCCCUCUGUACCUUCUGUAGUCACACACAAAUGGACCCACCCCAAACACACACACACACUCAGAGUUUACUUUUAACAAGAGUUGAAGCCAUACACAUUCGUGUUUGCAUUUGGAAACACAGACUGGGGAGAGCAUAAGGGAGGAACAUCUCAGGGGUUUCCAGAAGCAAAGUGGAUCAUGGCUCAGCUGAGCAGCUCCUCAAAAGCCACUCCCAGCUGUGCUCCAGUCUGCCCCACUGUGAAGGCUAAACUGCUAAUUGCUUUCCUUCCCUUUCUUACAGUAAAGUGUAGGUAUAAGACCUAAUUCUGGGUCAUGCGGAGUACAUGGAAAUCUGCU